UCAUAAUCCACUUUACUCUUAAAUAAGGCACUCGAUGCAGAGUAUGCUUGCUAACAACUUCAAUCGGUAUACGUUUACUAACGACUUUGAUUAAAGUCGUUAGUAAUCGUAUACUGCAAAGAGUCCUUUAUUUGAAAGUAAAGUAGCAAACCAUCCAAGUGAAUAAGUCAUUUUCAUUCCUUCACAGUAAACCCCUACCCCAAUGCCAGUAAUGGUUUUAGAACAAUCCAUCCUUGAUACUUCACCCAAAUUCCCCUUCCUGGCCCUUCAGAAUAAGAAAAACAACAGUGAAGGGUCUGAAGAAGUUAAAUCUGGGCAUCAUGUAAUACUUAAUCAUCUCAAGAAUGUGACUGUGUAUGAUCUAUUCCACUCAAAAGAUGAGUGCUGCUCUUCUGAGAUCCGAGAUUUUUCU
This 412-nucleotide long non-coding RNA is filed under the name Androctonus crassicauda. The record is from RNAcentral. Lineage: Eukaryota; Metazoa; Arthropoda; Arachnida; Scorpiones; Buthidae.